CGAAAGCCUGACGGAGCAAUACCGCGUGAGGGAAGAAGGCUCUUGGGUUGUAAACCUCUUUUCUUAGGGAAGAAAAAAUGACGGUACCUAAGGAAUCAGCAUCGGCUAACUCCGUGCCAGCAGCCGCGGUAAUACGGAGGAUGCAAGCGUUAUCCGGAAUGAUUGGGCGUAAAGCGUCCGCAGGUGGCAUAUCAAGUCUGCGGUUAAAGGUUCUGGCUCAACCAGAGACAGGCCGUGGAAACUGAUAAGCUGGAGUAAGGUAGGGGCAGAGGGAAUUCCCAGUGUAGCGGUGAAAUGCGUAGAGAUUGGGAAGAACACCGGUGGCGAAAGCGCUCUGCUAGGCCAAAACUGACACUGAGGGACGAAAGCU
This 370-nucleotide ribosomal RNA is filed under the name uncultured cyanobacterium. RNAcentral's name for it is "bacterial SSU rRNA". It matches the Rfam family "Bacterial small subunit ribosomal RNA", at positions 376 to 761 of the family's 1533-position model. Lineage: Bacteria; Bacillati; Cyanobacteriota. The record is from RNAcentral.